This 391-nucleotide ribosomal RNA is filed under the name Escherichia coli. RNAcentral describes it as "partial 23S ribosomal RNA". It matches the Rfam family "Bacterial large subunit ribosomal RNA", at positions 614 to 1005 of the family's 2925-position model. Lineage: Bacteria; Pseudomonadati; Pseudomonadota; Gammaproteobacteria; Enterobacterales; Enterobacteriaceae. The record is from RNAcentral.
AAUGGGUCAGCGACUUAUAUUCUGUAGCAAGGUUAACCGAAUAGGGGAGCCGAAGGGAAACCGAGUCUUAACUGGGCGUUAAGUUGCAGGGUAUAGACCCGAAACCCGGUGAUCUAGCCAUGGGCAGGUUGAAGGUUGGGUAACACUAACUGGAGGACCGAACCGACUAAUGUUGAAAAAUUAGCGGAUGACUUGUGGCUGGGGGUGAAAGGCCAAUCAAACCGGGAGAUAGCUGGUUCUCCCCGAAAGCUAUUUAGGUAGCGCCUCGUGAAUUCAUCUCCGGGGGUAGAGCACUGUUUCGGCAAGGGGGUCAUCCCGACUUACCAACCCGAUGCAAACUGCGAAUACCGGAGAAUGUUAUCACGGGAGACACACGGCGGGUGCUAACGUC